UGGUGGAGUGAUUUGUCUGAUUAAUUCCGUUAACGAACGAGACCUCGACCUGCUAAAUAGUUCGCCGAACCUUUUGGUUCGUGUGUGACUUCUUAGAGGGACUAUCGGUGUGUAGCCGGUGGAAGUUCGAGGCAAUAACA
RNAcentral lists this ribosomal RNA (140 nucleotides) under uncultured eukaryote. RNAcentral describes it as "partial 18S ribosomal RNA". It matches the Rfam family "Eukaryotic small subunit ribosomal RNA", at positions 1299 to 1458 of the family's 1831-position model. The record is from RNAcentral.